Small nuclear RNA from Cavia aperea (Brazilian guinea pig), 107 nucleotides. NCBI's taxonomy places the organism in Eukaryota, Metazoa, Chordata, Mammalia, Rodentia, Caviidae. The record is from Ensembl.
GUGCUCACUUUGGCAACACACACACUGAAACUGGAACAAUACGGAGAAGAUUAGCGUGGCCUCUGUGCAAGUAUAACACACAAAUUCAUGAAGCAGUCCGUGUUUUU